CCUACGGGAGGCAGCAGUGGGGAAUUUUGGACAAUGGGCGAAAGCCUGAUCCAGCCAUGCCGCGUGCAGGAAGAAGGCCUUCGGGUUGUAAACUGCUUUAGUCUAGGAAAAAGGGAUGCCCGGUUAAUACCUGGGUGUUUUGAUGGUACUGGAAGAAUAAGCACCGGCUAACUACGUGCCAGCAGCCGCGGUAAUACGUAGGGUGCGAGCGUUAAUCGGAAUUACUGGGCGUAAAGCGUGCGCAGGCGGUCUUGUAAGACAGUCGUGAAAUCCCCGGGCUUAACCUGGGAACUGCGAUUGUGACUGCAAGGCUAGAGUGUGUCAGAGGGGGGUGGAAUUCCACGUGUAGCAGUGAAAUGCGUAGAGAUGUGGAGGAACACCGAUGGCGAAGGCAGCCCCCUGGGAUAACACUGACGCUCAUGCACGAAAGCGUGGGGAGCAAACAGGAUUAGAUACCCUGGUAGUCCACGCCCUAAACGAUGUCGACUGGUUGUUGGGUACGGUAACCACUUAGUAACGAAGCUAACGCGUGAAGUCGACCGCCGNGGAGGUACGGUCGCGAGAUAACUACAANAGAGUAACGUACGNGAGACGNGCGACGACGACGACGAGGGAGGAG
This 619-nucleotide ribosomal RNA is filed under the name uncultured bacterium. RNAcentral's name for it is "bacterial SSU rRNA". The stretch from base 1 to 544 matches the Rfam family "Bacterial small subunit ribosomal RNA", at positions 338 to 873 of the family's 1533-position model. The record is from RNAcentral.